AUGACUAGAAUGGAGUUGGAAAGGUCUGCUCAUUUCAAUAUGUGAUUUAUGUUUCAUGCCAGGGUCAGGAGAUUUUGGAACUGACACAGACAGAGGGGGAACUACUUGCUGCAAUUGUAACUGUCCAGGUUCGUAGCUCAAAAAAGAGAAUCUAUCUGAAGAAAAGUUCAUGGAAUGAGGUUGACGCUGAAGCCUCAUGGAGUAACACUAGUACAAAGCCAGUGAUUUUAUAAAAGGCAAGGUUUAAAAGUAACCUUGAGAUCAGUAAGCAAAUACCAGGAAGACAUUUCCUAAAAGUAGAUGUGUAGGAAGCAGAGAUAAGUCCUAAUCCUGGAAGAGGAAACAAACAGAUUUAAACUGCAAAUAAAG
Molecule: long non-coding RNA, 369 nt
Filed under: Manacus vitellinus (golden-collared manakin)
Lineage: Eukaryota; Metazoa; Chordata; Aves; Passeriformes; Pipridae
Description: lncRNA (ENSMVIG00005002020.1)
Source: RNAcentral